This 253-nucleotide ribosomal RNA is filed under the name uncultured bacterium. Its description in RNAcentral is "partial 16S ribosomal RNA". It matches the Rfam family "Bacterial small subunit ribosomal RNA", at positions 524 to 776 of the family's 1533-position model. The record is from RNAcentral.
GACGUAGGGCGCGAGCGUUGUCCGGAUUUAUUGGGCGUAAAGAGCUCGUAGGCGGCUUGUCGCGUCGACUGUGAAAACCCGCGGCUCAACCGCGGGCCUGCAGCCGAUACGGGCAGGCUAGAGUUCGGUAGGGGAGACUGGAAUUCCUGGUGUAGCGGUGAAAUGCGCAGAUAUCAGGAGGAACACCGGUGGCGAAGGCGGCAUCCUGGACCAAUAUUGACGCUGAGGAGCGAAAGCCAGGGGAGCAAACGGG